RNAcentral lists this ribosomal RNA (197 nucleotides) under uncultured bacterium. RNAcentral describes it as "partial 16S ribosomal RNA". It matches the Rfam family "Bacterial small subunit ribosomal RNA", at positions 336 to 525 of the family's 1533-position model. The record is from RNAcentral.
CUCCUACGGGAGGCAGCAGUAGGGAAUCUUCCGCAAUGGACGAAAGUCUGACGGAGCAACGCCGCGUGAGUGAUGAAGGUUUUCGGAUCGUAAAACUCUGUUGUUAGGGAAGAACAAGUGCCGUUCGAAAGGGCGGCACCUUGACGGUACCUAACGAGAAAGCCACGGCUAACUACGUGCCAGCAGCCGCGGUAAUA